GUCCGGGUCGCGGCGAGCCGACUCGCGCCCGCCGCGGCCGCGAGGCCAAGGCUGGGUGACCUGCCCCGCGCCCCACGCCCUGCCGGGGUCCCCACUCGGGACCCUGACUCUCCUGGCUCUCGAAAGGGGAUCUGGCCCCUUCUUCUGGUCUCCAUGGCACCGAGAACAUAUGUGGUACACACGUCUAGAUUUGGCCACCAGAGACUGCAACUGAAAGCAGAUCUCUGACAGCGGUUUCCUCUGCCCAGCAGCUUCCAGCGGUUCCUGAUAGUGGCCUGGAGUCACCAAGUCUGCCUUUGGAAUCUGAUGGCCC
Molecule: long non-coding RNA, 313 nt
Organism: Microtus oregoni (creeping vole)
Lineage: Eukaryota; Metazoa; Chordata; Mammalia; Rodentia; Cricetidae
Exons: 3
Source: RefSeq, a predicted model, not a curated record